GUCCAUGGCCAUACCACCCUGAACACGCCCGAUCUCGUCUGAUCUCGGAAGCUAAAGCAGGGUUGGGCCUGGUUAGUACUUGGAUGGGAGAAUAUAAACAUGUGGAAAAUCACAUGAAAUGGCUU
Molecule: ribosomal RNA, 125 nt
Organism: Ochotona princeps (American pika)
Lineage: Eukaryota; Metazoa; Chordata; Mammalia; Lagomorpha; Ochotonidae
Source: Ensembl